RNAcentral lists this ribosomal RNA (1972 nucleotides) under Streptococcus equi. RNAcentral's name for it is "partial 23S ribosomal RNA". It matches the Rfam family "Bacterial large subunit ribosomal RNA", at positions 1 to 1985 of the family's 2925-position model. The record is from RNAcentral. Lineage: Bacteria; Bacillati; Bacillota; Bacilli; Lactobacillales; Streptococcaceae.
GUUUAAAAAAUAAGGUUAAGUUAAUAAGGGCGCACGGUGGAUGCCUUGGCACUAGAAGCCGAAGAAGGACGUGACAAACGACGAAAUGCUUUGGGGAGCUGUAAGUAAGCAAAGAUCCAGAGAUGUCCGAAUGGGGGAACCCACUAGCUAAUGGCUAGUAUCCAUAACUGUUAAGGUUAUGAGAAGGAAGACGCAGUGAACUGAAACAUCUAAGUAGCUGCAGGAAGAGAAAGCAAACGCGAUUGCCUGAGUAGCGGCGAGCGAAAAGGCAGGAGGGCAAACCGAAGAGUUUACUCUUCGGGGUUGUAGGACUGCGCUGUGGGACGACAAGAUUAUAGAAGAAGGCCUUGGGAAGGGUCGCCAAAGAGAGUAAUAGCCUCGUAUUCGAAAUAGUCUUUAACCCUAGCAGUAUCCUGAGUACGGCGAGACACGAGGAAUCUCGUCGGAAUCUGGGAGGACCAUCUCCUAACCCUAAAUACUCACUAGUGACCGAUAGUGAACCAGUACCGUGAGGGAAAGGUGAAAAGCACCCCGGGAGGGGAGUGAAAGAGAACCUGAAACCGUGUGCCUACAAGAAGUUCGAGCCCGUUAAUGGGUGAGAGCGUGCCUUUUGUAGAAUGAACCGGCGAGUUACGUUUAUGUGCGAGGUUAAGUUGAAGAGACGGAGCCGAAGGGAAACCGAGUCUUAAUAGGGCGUAAGUACGUGGACGUAGACCCGAAACCAUGUGACCUACCCAUGAGCAGGUUGAAGGUGCGGUAAGACGCACUGGAGGACCGAACCAGGGCACGUUGAAAAGUGCUUGGAUGACUUGUGGGUAGCGGAGAAAUUCCAAACGAACUUGGAGAUAGCUGGUUCUCUCCGAAAUAGCUUUAGGGCUAGCGUCGAUAUGAAGUCUCUUGGAGGUAGAGCACUGUUUGGGUGAGGGGUCCAUCCCGGAUUACCAAUCUCAGAUAAACUCCGAAUGCCAAUGAGAUAUGAUCGGCAGUCAGACUGCGAGUGCUAAGAUCCGUAGUCGAAAGGGAAACAGCCCAGACCACCAGCUAAGGUCCCCAAAUAACUGUUAAGUGGAAAAGGAUGUGGGGUUGCACAGACAACUAGGAUGUUAGCUUAGAAGCAGCUAUUCAUUCAAAGAGUGCGUAAUAGCUCACUAGUCGAGUGACCCUGCGCCGAAAAUGUACCGGGGCUAAAACAGUUUACCGAAGCUGUGGAUUACCGUUAAGGUAAUGGUAGGAGAGCGUUCUAUGUGUGAUGAAGGUAUACUGUGAAGAGUGCUGGAACGCAUAGAAGUGAGAAUGCCGGUAUGAGUAGCGAAAGACAGGUGAGAAUCCUGUCCACCGUAAGACUAAGGAUUCCAGGGGAAGGCUCGUCCGCCCUGGGUUAGUCGGGACCUAAGGAGAGACCGAAGGGUGUAUCCGAUGGACAACAGGUUGAUAUUCCUGUACUAGAGUAUAUAGUGAUGGAGGGACGCAGUAGGCUAACUAAACCGGACGACUGGAAGAGUCCGGCUAAGCAGUGAGGUGUGAUGUGAGUCAAAUGCUUACAUCUAUAACAUUGAGCUGUGAAGGGGAGCGAAGUUAAGUAGCGAAGUUAGAGACGUCACACUGCCAAGAAAAGCUUCUAGCGAUACGUAUACUCUACCCGUACCGCAAACCGACACAGGUAGUCGAGGCGAGUAGCCUCAGGUGAUCGAGAGAACUCUCGUUAAGGAACUCGGCAAAAUGGCCCCGUAACUUCGGGAGAAGGGGCGCUGACUGAAGGUCAGCCGCAGUGAAUAGGCCCAAGCAACUGUUUAUCAAAAACACAGCUCUCUGCUAAAUCGUAAGAUGAUGUAUAGGGGGUGACGCCUGCCCGGUGCUGGAAGGUUAAGAGGAGUGCUUAGCGCAAGCGAAGGUAUGAAUUGAAGCCCCAGUAAACGGCGGCCGUAACUAUAACGGUCCUAAGGUAGCGAAAUUCCUUGUCGGGUAAGUUCCG